Amphiprion ocellaris (clown anemonefish) is the source of this 2016-nucleotide long non-coding RNA. NCBI's taxonomy places the organism in Eukaryota, Metazoa, Chordata, Actinopteri, Pomacentridae. The record is from Ensembl.
GGUUUCAGUGAGGACAGCCUUCUGUCUCUGCUGGAUUUCUCCUAUUCCUCCACUCUGUGCGUCCGCCAGGAGGACCUACCGGAAGUUAUCGCCAUGGCCCGCCACCUGGGCAUGUGGCCUGCAGUGGAAGCCUGUUCUGCCCUCAUUAAAGAGCAGGAACAGCAACUCCAUCCUGGGAAGGGCUUUACUUCAGCCGGUGCUGGUGCAUGCCAAAACCGCCAUCACCUACAGAGGGAAAGCAAAAGGAAAAGUGUUUUGGAAUUGGAGGACAACAUGAACGACAACUUCAGUCUCACGCUGGAUUCAACGGAUGACUCUUUAGAAGGAAGUCCCAGACGCAAUUUGCGCAGAAUGCCAAAACCCCAAGGCCAUAACGGCCUCCCUCUGAGUCCCUCACACAGGAUGAAGCUCAUGGAUUUCAAAUCUCCCUCGUCCAAAAAGGCCACUACACCCCGACACGCCAUAGCCUCCUCACAGACGCAGAAUUACUCCUCCAUACCUCCGUCAAACACCCGUCUUCUCCGCUCCACUCCUGGAGCUGCCAAGGAGGUUCAGAGAUUGCUGCCAAUGCCAGAGAGCCCUCGAAGAAACAAAAAGUCUCGCUCCAUCACCAAGCUCUCAUGCUCCUCCAGAUCAAGGCCCAGCACUGUCUGCAGCCCUGUGAGGAUUAAGCAAGAAGUAGAGGAGGUUGGAGAGGAUGAGGAGGAUUAUGCACGAGCACAGGAGAAAUACAAGCUGAUGAAUGUCCUGGGGCUACAGAGGACCGCUCUUCUCCCCAGACCAGAGGAUCUGAUUGGCUGGAGACAGAAGAAACGUCUGAGGAAGCUGAAGGCUAAUAACUAUUCACUGACCAAGCGCCGGAAACCUCGUUCAUCAACCCCAGGACAAGCAUAUGCGGAUGUGACACUGGCUCUUCCCCUCUGUAACCCUGUUAACACUCGCCUUCUAAACAAGUCUGUAAAAACCAAGCCUGUGGGUUCAGUCAGCACCGAGAAGAUAACAGCAAAGAGACCAAACGCCUCCCAGCGGCGUAUUCCUCCCAGUGACAGGAGCAUGCGAAGUAAAGGAGUGUUACCAGACAUGUUCCAGCCUGCAUCCAGGCCUGCCUUCGGGGGGAGGGAGCUCAGACGAUCUGUGAGGAAGGGUGAUGGUGCCCACCCUCAUACCCAACAGCCUCUGCGACGCCGCACCAACAAGACGGCUGUGAGAAACACUGUCAGGAUCAAAUCAGAGCCAGCUGAAUACUGUAUCUCAGGUCUCAGACUUUCAUCAAACAAUCACCGUGCCCACACACCUCACAAAUCCCUGCCUUCACAGAGGACACAGGCCAGAAGUAAGGUCACUGUAGAGACGGUCAAAACACUGCGUUAUAACAGCGGCCGACCAGCAGCCAAGGCCAAACUCAGGCGGGGCUCCACAAGGGAGGUGGAGAAGACAAAGUGCAAACCCAGAGAGGAGGGAAGGAAGGUGGGGAGCGAGGGGCUAAGAAGGGUCAUGGACACUAGACCAGAAGUCAAGAAUAAUGAACCCGGUGCGCUCUCCUUUUCAGAGCACGCACCUCCGCCGUCCAUCUACAGCCACCCUCUGUACAAAGUCAUUAAAGAGGAGCCAGCAGAACCUGUGCCAGUUGUCGGACCAUUCCCCGAUCCACCCUCACCAGAUCUGGGCAAACGCCAGAGCAAGCCCCCCAUCAAACUACUGGACUCAGGCUUUCUGUUCAGCUUCUGUCGGCCGGCAGGGGGGCCCAUGGUAGGACUAAAGAAAGAGGAAGAGAGCGUGGAUAUAUGCUUAACUCGUUCUGUGUCACAAGUUGGGGAGAAAUUUGAAGCAAACGAGUCCACACACAGGACCCUGCGAGCCAGAGGGCCCCCCAUCCUGCCUGUAGUGAAGAGGGAGAGGGAGGAGAGGAGAGUGAGCCAAGGCAAGGCUCAGCGAACCAGGACGAGCUCCCGAAAUGCCACUUUGCACCUGGCCAAAUGCAAUGCUGGGUCAAAAACUGCACGGACCAUGCCAAAG